Molecule: long non-coding RNA, 1465 nt
Organism: Oncorhynchus keta (chum salmon)
Lineage: Eukaryota; Metazoa; Chordata; Actinopteri; Salmoniformes; Salmonidae
Exons: 4
Source: RefSeq, a predicted model, not a curated record
UUCCCAGCAAACAUGACCCCAUUAACAAGCUAGCCUACAUUUUAGUCAUUUAUAGCAGACACUCUUAUCAGAAACAACUUACAGAUCCCACGUGUGCAUCGCAUUUACAACCCUGUCAUGGCGAGCACCGCUACUCGACCCACUGAGCCACACAGGACUACACCACCCCAACACAGGCCAGACUCACCAAGCCCAGCUAUAGGAAGGGCUCAUUUCAAUAUUUGCUUUGAAUUAUGGCAUAUACUGUACAAAGAGGACCUCCCAUCAGCCAAUGUAAAAUCCAAGAUAGUGGUCUUUGUUGUCGUUGGACAUUCAGCUCUCCAACUGUCUGCCUGUGCAUUCAGCAGGGCAAGUUAAAGAUCAGAAGAAAGAGUGCCACCUACUGGCCCUCCAACACCACAUCCAGGAGCAUCUGGUGUCCCAUCCAGGGACCGCAGGGUGGUUUGCUGCUGGCCAAAGUUAGCUGAAGUUUGUAUUGACCUAUUAAAGAAAACCGAACCAUGGAUUACAGUUUCUCCUGGUCUAUAAACUACUUUCAGGCUUUUCCCCCUUACCUGGGAGGCAGAUACUGACUGGUUGCUGGAAGAGCAUUUCUGUGCAGAGUUCACACUACCAAGAUUUGAAUCAAGUUCAACUACCACCAAGCAUGUACAUGUAGCUCACUACCUCCCAACACUGUUGAUGAGCAGCAUUUCAACAGACUUCCUUCUAAACAUGGAGUGAUUUAUGGAUGAUGUGGAUGUCUGUGGGAAGAUGAACAAGAUAGUGUUUUGAAAGCGAAAAGGAUACUUUUUAAAAUUUAAGUUAAUAAAGUAUUAUUUAAGGUAAUUUCACCAAAUUUCACUCUGUAGCAAAACAUUUUCACCUGUUUUGUGCCAACUGAACAUGUCCACACUGUGUCUCCACAGUCAAGACUUGAUGAACAGGUGUGGCCAUGGCAACACAGUCUCUAAAACUCACCAUGAGGUCAUGUUUAGUAGGCACAAAAUGGGAGAAAAGGGACUGAAAUGGAGUGACACAGAAAAGUGUCCUACUGAACAUGACCCAGGGUCCUGACCCUUUUUGGAAUGACUCUGCGCUAUUGGCUGAUGAACAGGGCCAAGUUCGAGGAGCUGUAUCCUGAGCGUGUGUUCCUCUGGUGGCAGUGAUGGAGAAGGUCCAGUUCCAGCUCGAAGACAUCUUCGGAGGAACCACACACGUAAAUCCCCUCCAUGAAAACACAGCAAGUUCUUCAAAAGGGAAGUCAGCGCUACAUUCAACGCAGAAGAGGCAGACGCUAAUGUAUACUGUUUCUAGUUGGUGUGACACCCUCUCUUUUAAGACAACAUAAUUGCAUGUAGUACACAGCAUAUUUGUUCAUACAAUUCGUGUUUCUCAAAAGGGAUUUCGGUGCUCCCCAGCCAUUUCACAUAAGGGCUUACUGAUUAGUUGAAUCAUGUGUGCUAGAAUUGGAAUCAAAAACAUA